GCCCUUUUCACGUUCGUCUCGAACAAGCUAGGGUUAUCAUGUAGAACGGCAGCAGCAUCAUGAUUCAACGGGUCUUCAUCGUUAGGUUGCGUGAACAGGAGAUUCAAGCCAUAAACGAUGGUGUUUAUGUUGAGGACAGGCUUCCAAUCCUCACGCAGAAUGUUUAGACAGACAUUUCCCUCCAAGUCGAUGUUAGGAUGAUACACCUUCG
RNAcentral lists this unclassified non-coding RNA (211 nucleotides) under Hevea brasiliensis (rubber tree). Lineage: Eukaryota; Viridiplantae; Streptophyta; Magnoliopsida; Malpighiales; Euphorbiaceae. The record is from RNAcentral.